CGCUCCUGGCCCCGCAAACGCACCGCCACUCACACCUGCAGCUACGCAGGCUGCGGCAAGACCUACACCAAGAGUUCGCAUCUGAAGGCGCAUCUGCGCACGCACACAGGUGAGAAGCCCUACCACUGCAACUGGGACGGCUGCGGCUGGAAGUUUGCGCGCUCAGACGAGCUCACACGCCACUACCGCAAGCACACGGGCCACCGGCCUUUCCAGUGCCAUCUGUGCGAUCGUGCCUUCUCGCGCUCCGACCACCUGGCGUUGCACAUGAAACGGCACAUGUAGCCGGGACGCCCCUGCCCACCUGCGCGCGGCCGUGGCGGGUCCCACGCGCCGGGCGCGGCCCCCUCCCAAACUGUGACUGAUAUUUAUUGGACCCAGAGAACCGGGCCGGGCACAGCGUGGCUACAGAGGGUCUCCCUCGAUGACGACGACGACGACGCCACCGCCCCAGCCCCCAUCUGUGACUGAAGGCCCGGUGGGAAAAGACCACGAUCCUCCUUGACGAGUUUUGUUUUUCAAAAUGGUGCAAUAAUUUAAGUGGCAUCUUCUCUCCCACCGGGUCUACACUAGAGGAUCGAGGCUUGUGAUGCCUUGUGAGAAAUAAGGGCCUUAAUUUGUACUGUCUGCGGCAUUUUUUAUAAUAUUGUAUAUAGUGACUGUGACAAAUAUUGUAUUACUGUACAUAGAGAGACAGGUGGGCAUUUUUGGGCUACCUGGUUCGUUUUUAUAAGAUUUUGCUGUUUUUUUUUUUAAUUAAAAAGUUUUGCAUCUUUUAAAAAAAAAAACCACAGUACUGGUCUGGCUGCUUGGAACUGGGGCCUUGGGGCACUUGGGAGGAGGGGGGAGCGGACAGUUUGAUGGAGGGCAGCGCCACUAAAGCAUCGUGUGCAGUGGGUCCUGCCUCUGGCCAGCACCGGGACUGCCAGCUGCUGUGCCCGCCUGCCAGGAACCUGUGGGUUUUUCUGUAAAUUUAAACACUGCAUUUUAGGACUGAGGGUGGGUUAUUUUAAGGUUGUUCUUUGAGCCAUAAAUUGCCUCUUUGCCCCAAAGCUGGGAAAGUGCUGGUCCCACUGACGUGGCCUCCUCUAGGCUAAAGAAAAAAAAAAAAAAAACAAAAAAACUUAUGUCUUCCUGGAAGCCUCUGAGGUUUUAGCCAAAUUUCUGGAGUGCCAGCUUUUUAAAUUUUAUUUAUAUUUUUAAAAGGGGUUAACAUGCUAAGUUUCUGGCAUGUUCUGCCCUUCACUGGUCUUGACAUUAAUGCAAGUCUUUUCUUAAGGGGUGAGUUCCGCAUUCUGCUAGGGGAAAACAGUGAAACCUGCAUUCGAGGGCUAUGCAGGAAGCUCUUUUCCAGAUGAGGAAACGGAGGCCCAGAGAGGUAGCCGCAGGGUGGUGGAGUUGGGUUGUUAGCCUGCUCUGUCUGCCUCCAAGGCUCCCUGAACCCUACUGGAAGGGGGUGGUGACUUUUCUGCAAUUGACCCACCUGUUGUGUGCAUUGGAAGGCAAGGAGAGAAGCCUCUCCUGUAGGUCUCCAGGUGCAAAACAUUCACUGCCUCAAUGGUGGGAGGUGACCAGUCUGGAAACCCACCUAGAGAGCAGACGAGAUCCCUAAAUCCUACUGUCCUGAAUGUCGCAGUCAGGCAAGGAGGUAUCUCUCCCCCCAGAUUUCCCCUGCCAUCCCUCACCUUCCCCAUUCUCGGGGGCCCCGGGUAACCAUGACCACCAACCAUUGCACAAGUUUUCAGAAAGUGAAAAUGGCUCGUAAGCAGUGCCUGCUUUAAAACACUCUCACCCCGUUGCGACAGAGGCUGGGAUUUCCUCCCUCCCUCCAUCCUUCCUCCUCCCCAACUGGAAACAGCUGAGAGGUGUUUGGUAAUCCACAAAAAGCAGAAAUACGAGAUGACAAUCUGAUUCAUUUUUUGAGA
Molecule: long non-coding RNA, 1925 nt
Organism: Mandrillus leucophaeus (drill)
Lineage: Eukaryota; Metazoa; Chordata; Mammalia; Primates; Cercopithecidae
Exons: 2
Source: RefSeq, a predicted model, not a curated record